GAUGAAGAACGUAGCGAAAUGCGAUAAGUAAUGUGAAUUGCAGAAUUCAGUGAAUCAUCGAAUCUUUGAACGCACCUUGCGCCCCUUGGUAUUCCGAGGAGCAUGCCUGUUUGAGUGUCAUUAAUAUAUCAACCUCUUCAGCUUAUGCUUGUUGAGUGUUGGAUGGUGGGGGUUUGCUGGUGUCUUAUGAAGUCAGCUCCUCUGAAAUGCAUUAGCGGAACAAUUUGUUGACCGUUCAUUGGUGUGAUAAAAAUAUCUACGCUAUUGACGUCAGUCAGUUCAGCUUCUAACAGUCCAUUGACUUGGACAAAUUUUUCAUUAAUGUGACCUCAAAUCUGGUAGGACUACCCGCUGAACUUAAGCAUAUCAAUAAGCGGAGGA
This 381-nucleotide unclassified non-coding RNA is filed under the name soil metagenome. RNAcentral describes it as "partial contains 5.8S ribosomal RNA, internal transcribed spacer 2, and large subunit ribosomal RNA". The stretch from base 1 to 120 matches the Rfam family "5.8S ribosomal RNA", at positions 35 to 154 of the family's 154-position model. The record is from RNAcentral.